GGAGGUGGGAUGAGCUCCAGAAGGGUUUGGCUGCUGUAGGGGGGGCUGUGGUGCUCCCCCAUGAGUGUGGACAUCUGUGGGGCUGCAGCAGGAGCUUGUUGGGGCUGGGCUGCUCACUUUGCCCAGAAGUCUCCAAAAUAAGGAGCUGUGAGGAGUUCAGAGCAGACCUUCCUGCAAGGAAGGAAGUUCCCUCCAUGUUCCCUCUCCUGGUUCCCUCCAUGGAGAGAUGCACCAAACAUAUCAGAACAUACUCUAAAAGUAAAUGCUCUAGAACUAAAACAGAUCCCACUAUGAUGCCUGUAUCCUUAAUCCUGAAGGAUUUUGAGGAGUUCUCUAGGAUGCUGGUUGUGCUGUCUAUUCCUGUUGCCUUCCUUUGCAACAUUCAGUGGAUUUUGUGGUAUCUUUCAGGAGCAGAAAAUCAUUGGAGAUGAUUUCACUGAUGUACAGCAGUGCUUCUGUCACAGUAAAGGGGUGCAAAAUGUCCUCAAGUGUACGUCUGAAGAAUCUUAUGAGUAAUGGAAAAAGAAGAGCAGAGCAUAUACAGAAAAAAGUCU
RNAcentral lists this long non-coding RNA (554 nucleotides) under Cyanistes caeruleus (blue tit). RNAcentral's name for it is "lncRNA (ENSCCEG00000009055.1)". The record is from RNAcentral. Lineage: Eukaryota; Metazoa; Chordata; Aves; Passeriformes; Paridae.